CUCUCCUCGAGAACAGACCCUUCUUUCGUUCAUCCUGGAGAGAAGAACAAGAGAAGAGGCACUUAUUCCGUUGAACAAGCGCCAUGUCAUCAACCAUCCGGGGAAGGCUCGCUCUUAUGCCUCGAUUAUACCGAGCCUUCGUGUUCUUCCACAGACUUUCUCAUUGGAUGGUAUGUUUUACGUCGGCAGGGGGAUAGCCGGAUAGGCGAUCCUUGAAAAUUAAUCGUCGGCAAGAUCGAUCUGUCUAUAAAUCUAAUAUCGAACAUCUUUUUGUAUUCUUCUUAAUUUUCAUUGUGUUUUUUCAUUGAUAUACGAAGGGGAAUAGGAGCACAGCCGUCGCCCAUCUGGUUGGUAUUUUUUCGUCGAUCCAUCAAACCGGGUAAUUGAAACGACAUCAAUAGCUUGCUGACAUGCGUCGUGAGUUUGAGCCUGUUCACAACGGAGCAUCCUCAUUCAUUGCUUAUGGCAUGUAUAUCUUUGAUGAUGGGCAUCAUGUAGACGAUGCAAUGCCCCUGGACGAAUACACAGACAUAUUUCCGAUGGUUAUUGAACUUAAUGGAGCCACAGUCAAAAAUGGUUAUUUGUGUGUUCCUGGUGAAGUUGACCCAGUGGUCAUCUAUGAACUUGCAUCUCCCCAGUGCAGGCUGCUCAUGAAGAGCAUGCUUAAGUCUCUUGAAAUAAAUGAUCUGGAUGGGGUGUGUUUUACUGCAUUUGACCGCAACAAUGUGGUUGUGACCGCAACAAUGUGGUUGUGACCUCAUUUGGUAAAAUCAAAUUGAGGAAUGUUACCAUUGUCCGCAACCUCAAAGGAGCUGCACUGUGACAAGCUCAAAGAAAUAACUAUCUGUUGGCCCUUCUAAUAUUUCAGAGCUUGUUCGAAGGUGAAGCUGUUCCAGAAGAUGUCCAGGACUUGUUUAAUAUCAUUGAAGAUCAGGACCAGUAUAAUCUGCAUCGGCCAAUGUUCCAUGUCCAUGGCGCUGUACUUCAAAUUCCAGAGUAUUCUGGUGUCUACAAAGACUUACAUGAGCAUAUACGUCUUGUGAUUGAAAAGCCAGAGAUGAGGAGCAUAUUACUGAAUCUGCCAUAUGUAGAUGAUUGGCUGCUUAGGAUUGCAAGCAAUUCCCUCCUCAUGACGACAUAUAACUACAACGUUAAGAGUUACAUUGUUCCAACGAGCAAUGCUAUUCAGACCUGCCUGAACAAGGACCAGAUUGCUUUGCUCACUGAACUACACUUAGUUAGAGCUAGUGGUCAAAAGGACUUCACUGCAGAACAGAAGCAACUUGUCAAGGCGCUUCAGUUCAUUGAUUUUCCGAGGAAUUGAAAUGCCCACAGGAUGGAGCCCUUUGUGUACUUUAGGUCUGAGGGUCAGUUCUACAAUUCUGAAGGAAGUGAAACAGUGUCAUAUCUUCGUUUACCCCUUCUGAUACCGGCCAUGCAGAAACAACUUCAAAGCAUUCGUAGGCUCCAUGAGGUGCAAGACGUCCGGCAUGAGGAUGAGGCAGGUGCAGGUGCUGGGGCAGGUGCUGGUGCUGGUCUUGUCGGUGUCGGUGAGCCUGGUGAUGGUGCUGGUGUUGUUGGUGUCGGUGAGCCUGGUGCUGGUGCUGAGGAUGAGUCUGAGUUGUAGUAUUUUUACUGCUCUAAACUUGGAACGCCCAAUGUAGUAGUGCUUUCAUUUCUUGCCUUCUAGAAUCGUGGCUGGUGUUGCUGGCGUUGUGGGUGAGCCUGGUGCUGAGGCUGAGUGGCUGGUGUUGAGUUGUAGGAAUUUGCUGCUCUAAACUUUUAUUGAAUGGAACUCCCAGUGUAGUGUUUCAAUCUUUAGUCUGCUAGAAUAUUGUAUACUACUUAUGUUGAUGCUAAUGAGGUACACUUGAGUAAAUUAAUUAGCUAUUUGACUUGUCA
This is a long non-coding RNA of Triticum dicoccoides, 1902 nucleotides long. RefSeq lists it as uncharacterized. The record is from RefSeq and is a predicted model, not a curated record. Lineage: Eukaryota; Viridiplantae; Streptophyta; Magnoliopsida; Poales; Poaceae. The transcript has 5 exons.